GACGAACGCUGGCGGCGUGCCUAAUACAUGCAAGUAGAACGCUGAAGAGAGGAGCUUGCUCUUCUUGGAUGAGUUGCGAACGGGUGAGUAACGCGUAGGUAACCUGCCUGGUAGCGGGGGAUAACUAUUGGAAACGAUAGCUAAUACCGCAUAAAAUUGAUUAUUGCAUGAUAAUUAAUUGAAAGAUGCAAUUGCAUCACUACCAGAUGGACCUGCGUUGUAUUAGCUAGUUGGUGAGGUAACGGCUCACCAAGGCGACGAUACAUAGCCGACCUGAGAGGGUGAUCGGCCACACUGGGACUGAAACACGGCCCAGACUCCUACGGGAGGCAGCAGUAGGGAAUCUUCGGCAAUGGGGGAACCCUGACCGAGCAACGCCGCGUGAGUGAAGAAGGUUUUCGGAUCGUAAAGCUCUGUUGUAAGAGAAGAACGGGUGUGAGAGUGGAAAGUUCACACUGUGACGGUAUCUUACCAGAAAGGGACGGCUAACUACGUGCCAGCAGCCGCGGUAAUACGUAGGUCCCGAGCGUUGUCCGGAUUUAUUGGGCGUAAAGCGAGCGCAGGCGGUUAGAUAAGUCUGAAGUUAAAGGCUGUGGCUUAACCAUAGUAUGCUUUGGAAACUGUUUAACUUGAGUGCAGAAGGGGAGAGUGGAAUUCCAUGUGUAGCGGUGAAAUGCGUAGAUAUAUGGAGGAACACCGGUGGCGAAAGCGGCUCUCUGGUCUGUAACUGACGCUGAGGCUCGAAAGCGUGGGGAGCAAACAGGAUUAGAUACCCUGGUAGUCCACGCCGUAAACGAUGAGUGCUAGGUGUUAGGCCCUUUCCGGGGCUUAGUGCCGCAGCUAACGCAUUAAGCACUCCGCCUGGGGAGUACGACCGCAAGGUUGAAACUCAAAGGAAUUGACGGGGGCCCGCACAAGCGGUGGAGCAUGUGGUUUAAUUCGAAGCAACGCGAAGAACCUUACCAGGUCUUGACAUCCCUCUGACCGCUCUAGAGAUAGAGUUUUCCUUCGGGACAGAGGUGACAGGUGGUGCAUGGUUGUCGUCAGCUCGUGUCGUGAGAUGUUGGGUUAAGUCCCGCAACGAGCGCAACCCCUAUUGUUAGUUGCCAUCAUUCAGUUGGGCACUCUAGCGAGACUGCCGGUAAUAAACCGGAGGAAGGUGGGGAUGACGUCAAAUCAUCAUGCCCCUUAUGACCUGGGCUACACACGUGCUACAAUGGCUGGUACAACGAGUCGCAAGCCGGUGACGGCAAGCUAAUCUCUGAAAGCCAGUCUCAGUUCGGAUUGUAGGCUGCAACUCGCCUACAUGGAGUCGGAACCGCUAGUAAUCGCGGAUCAGCACGCCGCGGUGAAUACGUUCCCGGGCCU
RNAcentral lists this ribosomal RNA (1368 nucleotides) under uncultured bacterium. RNAcentral describes it as "bacterial SSU rRNA". It matches the Rfam family "Bacterial small subunit ribosomal RNA", at positions 28 to 1381 of the family's 1533-position model. The record is from RNAcentral.